This 88-nucleotide non-coding RNA is filed under the name Bacillus testis. Its description in RNAcentral is "Cyclic di-GMP-I riboswitch". It matches the Rfam family "c-di-GMP-I riboswitch aptamer". From Rfam's summary of the family: GEMM was predicted in a large-scale screen for bacterial structured RNA regulatory elements. Genes associated with GEMM are involved in a diverse array of functions, including chemotaxis regulation, signal transduction, secretion and chitin. Lineage: Bacteria; Bacillati; Bacillota; Bacilli; Caryophanales; Bacillaceae. The record is from RNAcentral.
GAAAAGGCACACUUAUUGAAAAAUAAGGCCGCAAAGUUACAGGUCUAAGGCAAAUAUCUACGAUUUGCUAUGACGGCUGGAUUGCCUA